GGCGCCACUGUUUUUCUUUCCAAGAAAAGGACAGAAACUAGACGUUGACCCCAUCAUUUGCCCCAAGAAAAUGUCAGCAAAUGAGCUUGCAUCUGUCAUCUGUGUGGGUAUAAGUAGUGGAUUAGUUGAGCCAUGGAGGUUCAGGUAAGAUAAGAUAGCAGUAGGGGUACAUGGAGAGAAAAAGAAAGGAGAUGGAGAAGGCCAAGUCUGGGCUGAGGCUGACCAUGGAGGAGCUCUGUUUAUGCAGUCCAGGAGAUGGGGAGGAGGAGAUGCAGGUGCAGGUGCAGGUGAAAGUGCAGGAGCAGCCAAGGUCUUCCACCAUGGACCUCCUCUCUGUCUCCAAGCAGCUCCUCCAUGUCCUUGAUGAGAUUGGACCAACGUUGCUAGUCCUGAGGCAAGACAUUCAGCAAAACGUUCAGAGAUUACAAGAUCUGCAUGAAAGAGAUUCUUCCAAAUAUGCGAGCUUGAUGGCGAUCGUUACAGAGGAAGUGGAGCAAGGGACAGCAAAGAAGACCAAAAGCUGCACCAGAGCUAUCAUCUGGCUGUCUAGGUCGAUAAGCUUCUCAAAAUAUUUACUGGAGAAGCUUCUGAAAGCCCCAGAAUCGAGCCUGGAAGAGAUUGUGGAAGAAGCCUAUGCAAAAACUCUAAAGCCAUGGCAUGGUUGGAUCUCAUCAGCUGCUUACAAGUUGCCAGGUAGCAACGAAGCUCAUCCCAGAAAGAGAAGUUCUCAUAGCGCUGCUGAUGGGUAACUGUCAAGACUUUGAAGAUCUUGCAGAAGAUGCGAAGAUGUUGACCCAUGCUGUCCAGCCGCUGUUGGAGGAGAUCGAUGCAAUUUCGGCUAAGCACAACAUGGACAAGCUGAAAUCCUCGUAGGACACAAGCUGAAAUUCUGCUGAUGUACAUAGCUGCAUAACCGUACCUAACGUCGUGCUUGUAAUAGUGAAAGGCCUUAUAUUGUGGUGUUCUCUUGUAGAUUGCAAGUGAUAAUUUGAAUGUGCAAAAUGCCUUGAGUGUAUUCCUGCACUUGUAGUUUUAGUAGAUAUACAUGACCAUGAUCAGGCUCGAGUUCUUUUUUGGCUCGUAUCACAUGUUUUCUUCAGAAUUCAAAACUACCUAGUUCUUUUUUCCUAGCUAGACAAUUAAUUGUGCUUUUAUC
RNA transcript from Panicum hallii, 1156 nucleotides. It is a transcript of the gene named glycolipid transfer protein 2-like, with no coding region annotated. The transcript has 6 exons. The record is from RefSeq and is a predicted model, not a curated record. Lineage: Eukaryota; Viridiplantae; Streptophyta; Magnoliopsida; Poales; Poaceae.